Molecule: ribosomal RNA, 631 nt
Filed under: uncultured Flavobacterium sp.
Lineage: Bacteria; Pseudomonadati; Bacteroidota; Flavobacteriia; Flavobacteriales; Flavobacteriaceae
Description: bacterial SSU rRNA
Rfam family: Bacterial small subunit ribosomal RNA
Source: RNAcentral
UAUAGUAGCAAUACUAGAGACCGGCGCACGGGUGCGUAACGCGUAUGCAAUCUACCUUAUACAGAGGGAUAGCCCAGAGAAAUUUGGAUUAAUACCUCAUAGCAUAGCAACUUCGCAUGAAGUCACUAUUAAAGUUCCAACGGUAUAAGAUGAGCAUGCGUCCUAUUAGCUAGAUGGUAAGGUAACGGCUUACCAUGGCUACGAUAGGUAGGGGUCCUGAGAGGGAGAUCCCCCACACUGGUACUGAGACACGGACCAGACUCCUACGGGAGGCAGCAGUGAGGAAUAUUGGACAAUGGGCGCAAGCCUGAUCCAGCCAUGCCGCGUGCAGGAAGACGCAUCUAUGGUGUGUAAACUGCUUUUGUACGGGAAGAAACACUCCCUCGUGAGGGAGCUUGACGGUACCGUAAGAAUAAGGAUCGGCUAACUCCGUGCCAGCAGCCGCGGUAAUACGGAGGAUCCAAGCGUUAUCCGGAAUCAUUGGGUUUAAAGGGUCCGUAGGCGGUUUGGUAAGUCAGUGGUGAAAGCCCAUCGCUUAACGAUGGAACGGCCAUUGAUACUGCCAGACUUGAAUUACUGGGAAGUAACUAGAAUAUGUAGUGUAGCGGUGAAAUGCUUAGAUAUUACAUGG